RNAcentral lists this ribosomal RNA (468 nucleotides) under uncultured bacterium. RNAcentral's name for it is "partial 16S ribosomal RNA". It matches the Rfam family "Bacterial small subunit ribosomal RNA", at positions 28 to 507 of the family's 1533-position model. The record is from RNAcentral.
GAUGAACGCUGGCGGCGUGCUUAACACAUGCAAGUCGAACGGAAAGGCCCAAGCUUGCUUGGGUACUCGAGUGGCGAACGGGUGAGUAACACGUGGGUGAUCUGCCCUGCACUUCGGGAUAAGCCUGGGAAACUGGGUCUAAUACCGGAUAGGACGAUGGUUUGGAUGCCAUUGUGGAAAGUUUUUUCGGUGUGGGAUGAGCUCGCGGCCUAUCAGCUUGUUGGUGGGGUAAUGGCCUACCAAGGCGUCGACGGGUAGCCGGCCUGAGAGGGUGUACGGCCACAUUGGGACUGAGAUACGGCCCAGACUCCUACGGGAGGCAGCAGUGGGGAAUAUUGCACAAUGGGCGCAAGCCUGAUGCAGCGACGCCGCGUGGGGGAUGACGGCCUUCGGGUUGUAAACUCCUUUCGCUAGGGACGAAGCGUUUUUGUGACGGUACCUGGAGAAGAAGCACCGACUAACUACGUG